GCGAACCUUCCUGUUCUUCGUUUCUCUUCGAUCGGCAGAGGGACGAUUCAGUUUCUGUAACUGUGUGUUGUUAUAUUAAUAAAGGUAACACACAUAACCAUAUCUCCAAAAGGCUAUAAAAAGGCUAGCUUUCCUUCCCUCAAAACCAUACAUCACCAUAUCUCCAAAAUUUUCAAUCUUUCCUUCAUUUCUCGCAUACCCAUCUCCAAAAAUCUCAGCUUGAACUGGAUGAUGUUAAUCGAUUGCUGAUUAACUUUCCCUCACGUUGAUUUUUUUUCCUGUUAACCCGCCAUGGCCGCAAGCUUUGAGGUCAAACCCCUCCAGAAAAACCGCUUCACUCACCCUCUCUCGCUUUCAAUACUUCAUCUUGAACCGUCUCCACGCCGCGACUCCAACCACCACCGUAACAAGAUCUCUUCUCUCAAACCUAUGGGAGGAGAGAGAGAGGUGUUACGCUACAAAUUGAGGUGCGGAGAAGGUGAACGGUGUAAAGUCUGCUCUUUUGUGCUCUCAAGGAGACCCACAGGAUCUCUGGCAGCCUCCCGGAGAUGGAGUUUCCCUUCGGUUUAAUCCUGGUCGUGGCGGUGGUGGAACAGGGUCGGAUUCGAAAGACAAUUCUUGGGGUGUAUUAUAUUUCAGUCAAAUGUCAUUCAUGUUAUGAAUCUGAGCUUCAAGACACUAAUGAGAUCAUGAGAGUUUGAAGAAGUAUUUAAUAGACCUGGUGAACCAAGGAAAGAUUCUGAGUGUGAAGGGAGCUUCUUUGGAUGGGCUUGCUUUAAAGUUAAAAUUUUCUGAACGCAAAUGGAGUGUGACGGUUGGGAAAGAUUCAGAAAAUCAUCAACAAAGCUACAUGUGAAAAGUUAGCUGUUGAGGCAACCAAGAAAGAACUAAGACAGUCAGUCCAUUUGGCAGACUUACAAAGAGGAAUGCUGGACAUUAUACAUGUUAUGGUUCUGUUUAGUUCAUGGCAAAACACGAAAAAGCAUUGUGGAGCACCCAUUUCCACCUACAUCAUUUGGUCAUUCAGUGGGCUAAAGAGGGAGAAUAGCCACACGCGUUCUGUUGAAAAUGUUGUGUUGACCAGAGUGUAAUAAGUCUCCACUUUGAUUGAUACUGAGUGUAGACUUUCUAGAGUGUAGUUUGCACAUGUCUGAACUUUGACACCC
Brassica oleracea var. oleracea is the source of this 1166-nucleotide long non-coding RNA. RefSeq lists it as uncharacterized. The record is from RefSeq and is a predicted model, not a curated record. The transcript has 4 exons. NCBI's taxonomy places the organism in Eukaryota, Viridiplantae, Streptophyta, Magnoliopsida, Brassicales, Brassicaceae.